RNAcentral lists this ribosomal RNA (253 nucleotides) under uncultured bacterium. Its description in RNAcentral is "partial 16S ribosomal RNA". It matches the Rfam family "Bacterial small subunit ribosomal RNA", at positions 524 to 776 of the family's 1533-position model. The record is from RNAcentral.
UACGUAGGCAGCAAGCGUUGUUCGGAGUUACUGGGCGUAAAGGGUGCGUAGGCGGUCCUGUAAGUAUGGUGUGAAAUCUCCCGGCUUAACUGGGAGGGUGCGCUAUAGACUGCGGGACUAGAGGGUGGGAGAGGAAAGUGGAAUUCCUGGUGUAGCGGUGAAAUGCGUAGAUAUCAGGAAGAACACCCGUGGCUAAGGCGGCUCUCUAGUACGGUACUGACGCUGAGACGCGAAAGCGUGGGGAGCGAACAGG